This 245-nucleotide ribosomal RNA is filed under the name Escherichia coli. Its description in RNAcentral is "partial 16S ribosomal RNA". It matches the Rfam family "Bacterial small subunit ribosomal RNA", at positions 87 to 335 of the family's 1533-position model. The record is from RNAcentral. Lineage: Bacteria; Pseudomonadati; Pseudomonadota; Gammaproteobacteria; Enterobacterales; Enterobacteriaceae.
GCUGACGAGUGGCGGACGGGUGAGUAAUGUCUGGGAAACUGCCUGAUGGAGGGGGAUAACUACUGGAAACGGUAGCUAAUACCGCAUAACGUCGCAAGACCAAAGAGGGGGACCUUCAGGCCUCUUGCCAUCGGAUGUGCCCAGAUGGGAUUAGCUUGUUGGUGGGGUAACGGCUCACCAAGGCGACGAUCCCUAGCUGGUCUGAGAGGAUGACCAGCCACACUGGAACUGAGACACGGUCCAGA